This 271-nucleotide ribosomal RNA is filed under the name uncultured archaeon. RNAcentral describes it as "partial 16S ribosomal RNA". It matches the Rfam family "Archaeal small subunit ribosomal RNA", at positions 477 to 747 of the family's 1478-position model. The record is from RNAcentral.
CAGCGCCACGAGUGGGGACCACUUUUAUUGGGCCUAAAGCGUCCGUAGCCGGUUUAGUAAAUCCUUUGUGAAAUCGGUAAGCUCAACUUACCGGCGUGCAGGGGACACUGCUAAACUUGGAACCGGGAGGAGUCGGAAGUAUUCCUUGGGGAGCGGUAAAAUGCAAUAAUCCAAGAAAGACCACCCGUGGCGAAGGCGUCUAACUAGAACGGUUCUGACAGUGAGGGACGAAAGCCAGGGGAGCGAACCGGAUUAGAUACCCGAGUAGUCC